This 391-nucleotide ribosomal RNA is filed under the name Lepetodrilus sp. associated gamma proteobacterium. RNAcentral's name for it is "bacterial SSU rRNA". It matches the Rfam family "Bacterial small subunit ribosomal RNA", at positions 13 to 390 of the family's 1533-position model. Lineage: Bacteria; Pseudomonadati; Pseudomonadota; Gammaproteobacteria. The record is from RNAcentral.
UUGAUCCUGGCUCAGAUUGAACGCUGGCGGCAUGCCUAACACUGCAGUCGAACGGUAACAGGCAGAGCUUGCUCUGUGACUGACGAGUGGCGGACGGGUGCGUAACACGUAGGAAUCUGCCUAGUGGUUGGGGAUAGACCCGGAGAAAUCCGGAUUAAUACCGAAUACGAUCUACGGAUGAAAGGGGGCCUCUUCUUGAAAGCUCUCGACUAUUAAGAUGAGACCUGCGUCGGAUUACGCUAGUUGGUGGGGUAAUGGCCUACCAAGGACAACGAUCCGUAGACUGGUCUGGAGAGGACCGAUCAGCCCACACUGGGACUGAGACACGGCCCAGACUCCUACGGGAGGCAGCAGUGGGGAAUAUUGGACAAUGGGCGAAAGCCUGAAUCCA